UUACCUUAAUAUCAUUAAAUCAGAAAAAGCUAAGAAACCUUUUGAUUACUGGUAUUGUAGAUUUAAUUGCUGACAAUUUUUGCCUAGCUUUCUUACAUGCAGAUGGAUAAAUUGGGAGAAUAGCAACAAUAGAACUUAUAAACAAGUCUUUUCUUGAAAGACAAUUAAAGUGAAUUCUGAAGAAAAUAAAACAUACCAUAAAUCAAAAACAUAUCUCAACUAUUUUUAUACUUGUAUAUUAUCUUUCAAAUACUGUCAAUAGGGAUAUUCAUAUUUUAUGGCUAAAAUAGUGAUGACCAAAUCAUUCUACACUCUACUUUUUAAUGGAACUUUAUAGCAUGUAUAUAUGUCAGAAAAUUUUUCAUGAUUAUUUUAAAGACAGAAUAAUAUGCUACCAAGUUAAUAUGCUAUAAUUUACUUAAUUUCUUUAUUAUAAGACACUUUAGCUAUUAGAGAAUAGACCUCAGGGAAUAACCAUGUGCAUAAUGUUUUUUUUUUCUCUUCCUGACAAAUUUCCAACAUGAAAUAUUUAUGACAAUACACAAAGUGACAUUGUAACUUGUUGAAGGUGAGGAAAGGAGUGUUUAAAAAUUAGACUGCAGUCUUAACAGAAGUGACUGUCAAUGAUAAAUUGUCUACUGAGGUACCAGGACAGAAAUCCUGUCUCCUAAUGGUAUGCAGACAUUUAAAAGUAAGCUCCCAUAGACAUACAUGAUCUAUUCAGCACUCCGAACAAGUUGUUGCUGAAAGACUAACAGAGAUGUUUUAGAUUUAAACAUCCAAAGUCACAAAAUACUUUUAAGUACCUAUCAAGCUGAUUUUAUCAACUUAACCUUCAAAUUAAAAUCUUAGGGAACAAAUACUGGUACAGUUAUACUGAAACAAAAAUAUGGAUGAUACAUACAUUUUAGCAGGACAAGCAUUAAUAUUUUUAGAGUGAGCACUUUGCAUUGUAUAGGUAAUAGAAUUGUGGGGCGGGUAUUGUUUCAUUAAGCAAAGAAGUUGGUUUUACUCUGAAAUAUCACUGCAGUUGAAGCAAAUACCAUUUUAACAAACACCUUUCCACUAGCUUGAAUGCCUGUGGUGUUUCCUUCUCUUUCCUUACAUUUCUCUAUGGUGGAGCUAGUUCUCUUAAUAACUUUUUUUCUUCACAGUCACUCCUCAGUCUUUGUGGUCUGGUUGCUGGCCUGACCAUUUGACUGAAGCCUCUCUGACAAUAAGCAGCAAUAACCUGUGUGUGAUGAAAUCUAAUGAACACUUUUCAGUCUCUAUUUUAUUUGACCUCCCUGACACAUCUGAUAUUUUUGAUCACUUGCUCCAGGAGAUUUUAUUUUCCCUUGGCUUCCAUGUAAGAAGUCUCUCCUUGUUGUUCUGUUACUUUGCUAUCUAGCUAUUUUUUUCAAUCCUUUUAGGCCAAGACUCCCCAAAAUAAUGUCUUACCCAAUUCCCUUCUUAUUUUAUACUUCUGCCAGCUAAAAGCUUAUUUAUUUUAAUUACUUCUAUUAUCUCCAAUAUACAGAUUCUGUCAUUUAGAUUUCCUGUCCAAAUGUAUGUAGAGAGUAAUAGAUGUAUUGUAAAGUCAAUUUUCCAUCUCCAUAAAUAGUUUAAGCCUGUUUAAAACUGGACUUCUUGCCUUGACCCAAUAUUCUUAUUUUAAUACUUGUUCUUACAUCAUCUACUUAGUUUGUCAGCAGGAUUGGGUCAUCCUCAUCAUUACCAACUCUAUCAUUCUUCUUUCAUCCUCUACAUCCAAUUAGUUAUUGUGUACCAUCUAAAUAUCUCUUUUUUCUAUUUCUUUCACUUCAUGCUCUCUGCUAUUCCUCCAUAAUGAUGUCCUUUCCUAAACCAUUCACAUAUCCUCCUAACUCAUAUCCUGAUAGCUGCCCUCUCUAAUCCUAUCUGUUCCCAAACUUCUUCCCCAGGCUUACCAAAGAGAAUUGUCUAAGACAUAGAUUGGAUGGAGUCACUUCCCUGUUUGAUUCACUGAACUUUAAUUACCUGCAGAAGAGUUCCCUACUCUCACAGCAUGAUUUGCAUCUCCAUUCAGCUACCCAUUCAUUCAUAUAUCCAUAUAUUAAGCUGAGCCUCAGCAUUAGAAAGUACAGACCUCCUAGUCUCAUGGAGCUGAUAGUCAACGAAGGAAGCCAGCAAUGACAUGUGAAAGGAAUGUGUGCAUCAUAAAAAUGGAAGCAAAGUUCCCAUAUAGGUCCAUAAAUAGAGGACUCAGGAAUGCUUCGGAGUCAGCCAAAGUCUGUGUAAUCAACCAUAAUUUGAAAGUUGCAUGUAAAUUUUCCAGUUGAAGAUGGGGAGAAUGAAAUCAGAUCAUGCAUGGAGAAUGCUGGGUGAACAACUGUCUCAAAUAGAAGGAACAGAAUUAAUCAGACUCUGGGCCAAGAGAGAACAUAUAGCUUUAGAACUAAUGGGAGGUGGAGCACAAAGGUUUUGUCUUCAUUAAAAAGGAUAAGGGAGAGUAGUGUCAGAUGGAAUUCAGGAGGAUUACUGGGACAAGAACUUGGUGGACCCCAUUGUCACACUAAACAGAUAACAUGACCUCAUUUGUAUUUUAAGAAAAAUAAGCAGGCCAGCAACCAAGUAAGAAAGCAUAAGCUUUUAGGAUGCAGGGUAUAACUAUGGAUCUUCAUGAUGAAGCUCCUAUCUAUUGUCCCUGCUUCAUCUCCUUCCACUCCCCCUUGUGAAUCUCCUCCUCAGAUACCCCCACCAAAGUUAACAUGACUUUCUCCUAGUAUCUACUCUUUCAUGCCUCUACAUCCAUGCAAACACCUUUUCUGGUUCCUAAAAUUUGCUUUUCCAUUUCUCAAACCAUCAAAAUCAUCCUCAUUCUAUAGAGCCAGCUCUAGAAUUUUUCUCUUCUCUAAAGUCAUCCUUGACUGUACUUUCAUGCACCAUAUAGAAAAGUCUGUUUGAAGGUGUACAUACCCACUUUUUGGUUUCCUGACCCUACACUAGAAAUAUAGUACCUAGGAUGACUGAAUGAAUUUUUAACUCUUUAUCCAUUACAGCCAGCACAGAAACCAGCACUUGAGGAAAAGAAGGAAAGGAGGGAGGGUAGGAAGGUGGGAGAGAGAGAGUUAUUUGACCAAUGGGUGAUAUUUUCCUACUCUUUCCAUUACAAGGGUGAAAUACUGGAAUAGUAAAAAAGACUUCCCAUGAAAAUAAGUAAUCUCUACAAGAAUCCUUGACAGAUGGUUAUACAGACUUUGAACAUUCAGUGACUUGUGUCUCAUUCUUUCUAAACUAAACAGUUGUUUAAAAUGUUGAAUUUUUAGAGCUGACAUUUACCUUAUACCUUCUAUCCAUUAUGACUAGUUCUUCCCCCUGAAGAUGUGUGAAAUAAGUGAAAGAAUGUCUUUAGCUGCUUUAUGUUAUUUGGUACAUUUCUUUGGACAGUUGCUGUUUGAUAAUGCCCAGCAUAAAAGAUAACACUGAUUAAGAAACAUAUGAAAGCCAUGUUCAAAGCUAAUGCUAUCAGAUUAUUCCACUUGCUACCUGAUCAUGGUGGAGUCAUCUACAUUUGCCCUUAUUUCUUGAAGGUUUUGACUCUUAGUUUGCUGACAUUCUUUCCAAUAUUUCUGUCCUGAACGGUGAGAUUUUAAUAUCCCCAUAGAUGACCUUUGUAAGUUGGAAUUGAUAUGCUCUACUCCAAUGAAUUAUCACAUAAAUUUCUCUAUCAUCUACACCAUGCGUGAUAAUACCUGAGACCUUUGUUAACAAUAACUGCUAAUCCUCCACAACCAAUUAUCAGUUAUUGUUAACACAACUACCUGCUCCUCUUAUUUCUCAAAGAAUCCUGACCUCAGAAAUGUUUGUAUUCCAAGGGGAUAAACAAGCCAUUGUGUUUCAGAGCCUUAUAACAAAAGAUACUAGAGAGAUUGUUUUCUCUCUUUCAUCUGCCAUGUGAGCAUUCCAUAAAAAGCUUAUUAUCUGUAAGCCAAGAAGAGAGAUCUUACCAGAAUCUGACCAUGCUGAACCUUGAUCUAGGGCUUCUAGCCUUCCGAAGUAGAAGGAAAUUAAGUUCUCCUGUUUAAGCCACCUAGCAUAUGCCAUUUUGUUAUGGCAGCCAGAGCUGACUAAGAUAGUACUGUUCUUCACGGAGUAUAAGGAAAUGAUGAAAAAAUUUUAUUAUGUUGUAUAAUAAUGCAUAAUUUUUCUUUUUUCAUUAUGCCACUAAUUUAUCUUUAUCAAACUUCUUAGAAACUUGCUUUCAUAUUUGCAUACCUCUUCUUUUCAUUUAUUUGUUUUUUCUUUCUGUCCUGGUAUACUUCCCUAAAGAUUUUCUCCAUUUUUUCUGGAAACUCUACUUCCUUUCUCAAAAACUAGAGCAUAUGGUUGUUUAUUUUAAGAACUUACUAUUUUUUAUCUAUUCGUGUGAUCAUUCUGCCUUUAUUGCUCACAACAUUUUUGACAAUAUCAGACAGGAAAACAAAGAUAGUGUUGAUUAAAGGUCACUUUAUUGCUUUCACCAGAUUCUGUACUUCCUGGAGCUCAAAUUGAACAAUAUUUUUUUGGGUCCCUUCUGAAAACAGUGCUUGUAAAUUGCCACUCCAAAUUAUCUGUAUUUCACAUCCAUUUGUCAGAAAAUUCAUGUUGAGGAGAAUUCUUAUGUUUAUGUACUGGUUUAUUCUCUGAUUCAUUCAACAAAAAUGCUUUACUGCUUAUACUUACCUACAUCUGACAGAAACUUUAUUAUUUUCUCUUAUUAAAAUGUGGUAUUUAUCUAUACAUAAGGAUCAAUAACUCACCAAUAUUUCUUUUAGUUCUGUAUAAUUAACUAGGAAUAUUCAUGGAUUCUCUUCUUGUUCUGUCUUCAUGCUUUCUAUAGC
RNAcentral lists this long non-coding RNA (4841 nucleotides) under Sus scrofa (pig). Its description in RNAcentral is "lncRNA (ENSSSCG00000056915.1)". Lineage: Eukaryota; Metazoa; Chordata; Mammalia; Artiodactyla; Suidae. The record is from RNAcentral.